This 346-nucleotide unclassified non-coding RNA is filed under the name soil metagenome. Its description in RNAcentral is "partial contains 5.8S ribosomal RNA, internal transcribed spacer 2, and large subunit ribosomal RNA". The stretch from base 1 to 121 matches the Rfam family "5.8S ribosomal RNA", at positions 35 to 154 of the family's 154-position model. The record is from RNAcentral.
GAUGAAGAACGUAGCGAAAUGCGAUAAGUAAUGUGAAUUGCAGAAUUCAGUGAAUCAUCGAAUCUUUGAACGCAUAUUGCGCCCCUUGGUUAUUCCGGGGGGCACACCUGUUCGAGCGUCAUUGCUGCCCUCAAGCACGGCUUGUGUGUUGGGCCUCCGUCCUCCUCCCGGGGGACGGGCCCGAAAGGCAGCGGCGGCACCGCGUCCGGUCCUCGAGCGUAUGGGGCUUCGUCACCCGCUCUUGUAGGCCCGGCCGGCGCUUGCCGACACAUCAAUCUUUUUUCCAGGUUGACCUCGGAUCAGGUAGGGAUACCCGCUGAACUUAAGCAUAUCAAUAAGCGGAGGA